Molecule: ribosomal RNA, 259 nt
Filed under: uncultured archaeon
Lineage: Archaea
Description: partial 16S ribosomal RNA
Rfam family: Archaeal small subunit ribosomal RNA
Source: RNAcentral
UAGCCGUAAACGAUACUCGCUAGGUGUCGGCCACGGUGCGACCGUUGUCGGUGCCGUAGGGAAGCCGUGAAGCGAGCCACCUGGGAAGUACGGCCGCAAGGCUGAAACUUAAAGGAAUUGGCGGGGGAGCACUACAACGGGUGGAGCCUGCGGUUUAAUUGGACUCAACGCCGGAAAACUCACCGGGGGCGACAGCAAUAUGUAGGCCAGGCUGAAGACCUUGCCUGAAUCGCUGAGAGGAGGUGCAUGGCGUAGACGU